AUACGUAGGGGGCGAGCGUUGUCCGGAGUUACUGGGCGUAAAGGGCGCGCAGGCGGCCAUUCAAGUCAUGGGUGAAAUACCGGGGCUUAACCUCGGGGGUGCCUGUGAAACUGGGUGGCUUGAGGGCCGGAGAGGACAGUGGAAUUCCCGGUGUAGCGGUGAUAUGCGUAGAGAUCGGGAGGAACACCAGUGGCGAAGGCGACUGUCUGGACGGCACCUGACGCUCAGGCGCGAAAGCCCGGGGAGCAAGCGGGAUUAGAUACCCCGGUAGUCCGGGCCGUAAACGAUGAGUGCUAGGUGUGGCGGGUAUCGACCCCCGCCGUGCCGGAGUUAACGCAAUAAGCACUCCGCCUGGGGAGUACGGCCGCAAGGCUGAA
RNAcentral lists this ribosomal RNA (377 nucleotides) under uncultured bacterium. RNAcentral describes it as "bacterial SSU rRNA". It matches the Rfam family "Bacterial small subunit ribosomal RNA", at positions 523 to 898 of the family's 1533-position model. The record is from RNAcentral.